This 452-nucleotide ribosomal RNA is filed under the name uncultured marine bacterium. RNAcentral describes it as "bacterial SSU rRNA". It matches the Rfam family "Bacterial small subunit ribosomal RNA", at positions 360 to 804 of the family's 1533-position model. The record is from RNAcentral.
AAUAUUGCACAAUGGGCGAAAGCCUGAUGCAGCCAUGCCGCGUGUGUGAAGAAGGCCUUCGGGUUGUAAAGCACUUUCAGUUGUGAGGAAAGGGAUGUAGUUAAUAACUGCAUUCUGUGACGUUAGCAACAGAAGAAGCACCGGCUAACUCCGUGCCAGCAGCCGCGGUAAUACGGAGGGUGCGAGCGUUAAUCGGAAUUACUGGGCGUAAAGCGUGCGUAGGCGGAUUGUUAAGCGAGAUGUGAAAGCCCCGGGCUCAACCUGGGAACUGCAUUUCGAACUGGCAGUCUAGAGUUUUGUAGAGGGUGGUGGAAUUUCCAGUGUAGCGGUGAAAUGCGUAGAGAUUGGAAGGAACAUCAGUGGCGAAGGCGGCCACCUGGACAAAAACUGACGCUGAGGCACGAAAGCGUGGGGAGCAAACAGGAUUAGAUACCCUGGUAGUCCACGCCGUA